Molecule: ribosomal RNA, 253 nt
Filed under: uncultured bacterium
Lineage: Bacteria
Description: partial 16S ribosomal RNA
Rfam family: Bacterial small subunit ribosomal RNA
Source: RNAcentral
UACAGAGGUCCCAAGCGUUGUUCGGAUUCACUGGGCGUAAAGGGUGCGUAGGUGGUUCUGCAAGUCUGAUGUGAAAUCUCCGGGCUUAACCCGGAAAUGGCAUUGGAAACUGCAGGGCUGGAGUGUUGGAGGGGGGACUGGAAUUCCCAGUGUAGCGGUGAAAUGCGUAGAUAUUGGGAGGAACACCAGUGGCGAAGGCGGCUCACUGGACCGGUACUGACGCUGAUGCGCGAAAGCGUGGGGAUCGAACAGG